UCAAACUUGGUCAUUUAGAGGAAGUAAAAGUCGUAACAAGGUUUCCGUUGGUGAACCAGCGGAAGGAUCAUUACAGAGAUCAUGCCCUUCGGGGUAGACCUCCCACCCUGUGUUAUUUACAAUUGUUGCUUUGGCAGGCCGCCUUUGGGCGCUUGGCUUAGGCUGAGAUGCGCCUGCCAGAGGACCUAACUCUUGUGUUUUAGUGUUGUCCGAGCGUUAUUUUAAUACUUUCAAAACUUUCAACAACGGAUCUCUUGGUUCUGGCAUCGAUGAAGAACGCAGC
Molecule: unclassified non-coding RNA, 283 nt
Filed under: uncultured fungus
Lineage: Eukaryota; Fungi
Description: partial contains small subunit ribosomal RNA, internal transcribed spacer 1, and 5.8S ribosomal RNA
Rfam family: Eukaryotic small subunit ribosomal RNA (bases 1-73)
Source: RNAcentral